UACAGAGGGGGCAAGCGUUGUUCGGAAUUACUGGGCGUAAAGGGCGCGUAGGCGGCCUUCUAAGUCGAACGUGAAAUCCCCGGGCUCAACCCGGGAACCGCGUCCGAUACUGGAAGGCUUGAAUCCGGGAGAGGGAUGCGGAAUUCCAGGUGUAGCGGUGAAAUGCGUAGAUAUCUGGAGGAACACCGGUGGCGAAGGCGGCAUCCUGGACCGGCAUUGACGCUGAGGCGCGAAAGCCAGGGGAGCCAAAGCGGG
This 255-nucleotide ribosomal RNA is filed under the name uncultured bacterium. RNAcentral's name for it is "partial 16S ribosomal RNA". It matches the Rfam family "Bacterial small subunit ribosomal RNA", at positions 524 to 778 of the family's 1533-position model. The record is from RNAcentral.